GCCAGGUGUGGUGGCACAUGCCUGUAAUCCCAACAGCUUGGGAGGCUGAGGCAGGAGGAUUUCGAGUUCAAAGCCAUGCUCAGCAACUUAGUGAGGCCCUAAACAACUCAGUGAGACCCUGUCUCAA
Molecule: small RNA, 127 nt
Filed under: Marmota monax (woodchuck)
Lineage: Eukaryota; Metazoa; Chordata; Mammalia; Rodentia; Sciuridae
Source: RNAcentral